GCGGCAUGCCUUACACAUGCAGUCGACGGCAGCACGGGAGCAAUCCUGGUGGCGAGUGGAGAACGGGUGAGUAAAGUAUCGGAGCGUGCCCAGUCGUGGGGGAUAACGUAGCGAAAGUUACGCUAAUACCGCAUACGAUCUAUGGAUGAAAGCGGGGGAUCGCAAGACCUCGCGCGAUUGGAGCGGCCGAUAUCAGAUUAGGUAGUUGGUGGGGUAAAGGCUCACCAAGCCGACGAUCUGUAGCUGGUCUGAGAGGACGACCAGCCACACUGGGACUGAGACACGGCCCAGACUCCUACGGGAGGCAGCAGUGGGGAAUUUUGGACAAUGGGCGAAAGCCUGAUCCCGCCAUGCCGCGUGCAGGAUGAAGGCCUUCGGGUUGUAAACUGCUUUUGUACGGAACGAAAAGGUUUGGCCUAAUAAGCUGAGCUCAUGACGGUACCGUAAGAAUAAGCACCGGCUAACUACGUGCCAGCAGCCGCGGUAAUACGUAGGGCGCGAGCGUCGAAU
RNAcentral lists this ribosomal RNA (510 nucleotides) under bacterium AV-Te-21-dark. RNAcentral describes it as "bacterial SSU rRNA". It matches the Rfam family "Bacterial small subunit ribosomal RNA", at positions 39 to 543 of the family's 1533-position model. The record is from RNAcentral.